This is a long non-coding RNA of Alosa sapidissima (American shad), 276 nucleotides long. RefSeq lists it as uncharacterized. The transcript is spliced from 3 exons. Lineage: Eukaryota; Metazoa; Chordata; Actinopteri; Clupeiformes; Clupeidae. The record is from RefSeq and is a predicted model, not a curated record.
GCCGGUUUUCGAGGCCAUGGUGGUCAAAAUUGCUGGGAGGCAACACUCGAAAGCUACAUCAAGGACACCGGAGGAUGGACCAGAAGACCUGAGACCAAGACGGCCCAAGCCCAACCUGUAGUAUGCUUCACUGACUGACAAAUGUUGAUGUUGAUGCUUCAUCAUCACAUAGACCAAAGGUUUCAGAGAAGGCUGAUAGAGCUCUCUAUGAGUGUGAGCUGUGGGAGAACCCAGAACUGGCAACCACCUAAAGAAGAGGUGGCGAUAAUGGCUCUC